Molecule: ribosomal RNA, 131 nt
Filed under: Carlito syrichta (Philippine tarsier)
Lineage: Eukaryota; Metazoa; Chordata; Mammalia; Primates; Tarsiidae
Source: RNAcentral
GACUGUAACACCCUGAACAUGCCUGCUCUCAUCUGAUCUUGGAAACUAAGCAGGGUAUGGCCUGGUUAGUACUUGGAUGGAAAGGUUCCCUGAAUGAGUUGAAGUUGAGGCUCUGAGCACCUGGCUAGGCU